GAGCUCUCCCGGGACACCCCGCAUUUCCCUAGGGUCGGGAGCCCGAGGGGCGCGCUCGGCUGUCCGGCUCCUGCUCUUCAGCCUGUGCCACGAGCGGCAGCCGAGACCUCGUCAGACGUGACGGGCUGGGCCGGCAACCCGCGUGCGGGACCGCCUCCCGUAGCCCCAAUGCCCCGGCGGGAGGAGAGCCGUGAGGGUGUCCGCCUGGCGAGUGCGGCCAGAACACCGGUCACUGUUUUCUGUGCGCACGUUGCAAGGACCGUGUGUGAGUCUGGUAUAAUUUGACCUCCUGAGAUUCUGUCUUAGCAAGAAGAAAGUGGAAAAUACUCUUGGAAAGAAAACUAAGACAUUAAGAAAGCCAGAACUUAUUUUUAC
Molecule: long non-coding RNA, 375 nt
Filed under: Capra hircus (goat)
Lineage: Eukaryota; Metazoa; Chordata; Mammalia; Artiodactyla; Bovidae
Description: lncRNA (ENSCHIG00010023945.1)
Source: RNAcentral